UUAAUCAAGGAAAUCACGGUU
Molecule: microRNA, 21 nt
Filed under: Glycine max (soybean)
Lineage: Eukaryota; Viridiplantae; Streptophyta; Magnoliopsida; Fabales; Fabaceae
Description: gma-miR1509b
Source: miRBase by way of RNAcentral